UUAGUUCGUGGAGUGAUCUGUCUGCUUAAUUGCGUUUCAAAUUUUUAACCGAGGACCGGGUUUUGGUUUGGCUAGUGGUCCUACGAUGACUGUGAACUGUCAUGUCUUCGGAUGUACGACUAUCGGUCUAGGAUCACAUGACUUGCCCCUGGGACUCUUUUGAACGCAACGGACGUGAUUGCAACCCCUUGUUGAGAUUAGAGAUAGUCUCGAUAUUCACUGGCCAAACUGGCUGCUUUAUGCAGUCUUGUUGAAUGGUGGAUAAACUCGGGGGACUGCUGACUAUAACCAUUUCUCAAAACAGAGGAAGGUUGCGGCAAUAACAGGUCUGUGAUGCCCUCAGAUGUCCCGGGCUGCACACGUGCUACAAUGAGUGGCGCAAUGUGCUAAUGUUUUAAGGGAUAAGCGUGCGGCCAGUAGAACGUCGGCAAUUGCCCUGGCGUCUUCUACCGCACGAUUAUCAGCCUUCCCUUAACAGGGCGGGCAACCUUUUCAAAAUACCGGUUUGAUGUUAAAGUAUAGAGUCGUUUUUUUUGGAUGGUGGUUUACGAACCAAUACCAUCCGCAACUGCUCGCGAGUUUGUGGUUCUGGUGACUCAUGGUGGG
RNAcentral lists this ribosomal RNA (606 nucleotides) under Globigerinoides ruber albus. RNAcentral describes it as "partial small subunit ribosomal RNA". The stretch from base 1 to 540 matches the Rfam family "Eukaryotic small subunit ribosomal RNA", at positions 1294 to 1605 of the family's 1831-position model. Lineage: Eukaryota; Foraminifera; Rotaliida; Globigerinidae. The record is from RNAcentral.